Pomacea canaliculata is the source of this 4279-nucleotide long non-coding RNA. RefSeq lists it as uncharacterized. Lineage: Eukaryota; Metazoa; Mollusca; Gastropoda; Architaenioglossa; Ampullariidae. The record is from RefSeq and is a predicted model, not a curated record. The transcript has 2 exons.
ACUCUGAAAAAGAAAUGAAAAUCCACUUAGUCAAUGCUACUUUAGAAAUAUUAGUCUCAUGAGCUGACGUUAAGCACACCUUACCAGAUGGAUCUCAUGAACUCAUAAAUUCAAUUCAUAAUUACAGGUCAUCUUUUAUAUUUUUUUGUUUGGUUGGUUUUUUUAUUUUUGUCUUAUAAGACAUCUUCUAGCACCAGGUUUCUGAACAUUUUAAGGCUUUUUGCAGUUUUAUUACACAUCUAUCACCGACUGAUGUUUUCUAGUCAACAACGUGAUUACUCAACUUCUAUUUUGAUCAGCAUGUUUUUUACCAGGCGAAAUCCUUACCACAGAUGUCUACAUUAUUAUUAUUAAACAUAAAUCAAGUUUUCAUACAAUCAACAUUUUGGAUAAAUACAGCCAUAGAAUUUUACAGAUUUAUUAUUUGUGAGACUAAAAGUGUCUUCAAUUACAUGAAAACUUAAACUGCGUGUGCACAAAUGCACACAUAUAUUUGUGUGAUAUAAAGUUGUUGUUUUUUUUAAAUUCACAGUGAAAGUACUCUAAGACUCCUCAAAGUUUUCAAAACUUUCUUUUCUUCACAUUAGGAAGAUAAUUACCAGAUUCAACAGAAUUGGUCAUAAAUCCUGAGUGUUUUUUCAAAUUCUAAACAACCAUUAAGUUCUUCCACUAGUUUGCCUGAGGGAGUCAGUAGUAUUUCCUUUAAAGCCAUACUGAAGGAAUCAGAUUAUACUACUUUCUCUCCUCCUUCUGGGUUCCACAAUUAAAAGUCUAUAGUUGUCUAUAUAACCCCCUAAAUUACAUUCACUAAAACAGGAACAUUUUUAAAACAGAAUUUUUAAGCUUUGUUGCAAUGGGCUUCAGCUCAUUUUGCCAACAGCCACAUUUGUGAAAUGUAACCAAAGCUACACAAGGAAGUUGAUCAUCGAUAUUACAACUUUAUUAGCAUUUACUAAACUUUUAUAAAAGGUAACAAUAGCAAAUUUUUACAUCAGCUGUAUGCUUGUACGUGGUACCAACAGGCCCAUUCUUAGGCCCUGCAGAGCAUGUGCGGGGUCCUCGAAGCCACAAUUUUAAUAAAAAGUGUGGGGCCCUUGAUGACUUAAAAGAGCAGGGCCUUAGGCAGAUGACUCCUCGGCCUACCCCUAAGCACGGCCCUGAGUACGAUAUUCACAAAGCCAUAGCCUACAUACAUGUAAAUCCAAUGCUAGACUGGAUAAACUGCACAUACCCAUUUUAACUUGCCCUAGACCUUGCAUUUUGAAGGGGAAAAGACCCAGUUUACAAACCACAAAGCCUUUUCACACAGCUUUAAUUUGCAUAAAUAAAUAAUCAUAUUUAAAUCAGUAGUCAAUGUAGUCUACUAUCUCCCGUGGAGAAAUGAGCACUAAUUACAAAUGUUUAAGUCCAGAGGAAGAACGUACUUUGGAUAUAAUCAAUACAAAUGAAACAUUAUGCAGGAUCAGAAGCAUUUUCUGACUGGCAAACAUAAAACAUAAUGAAUGCGGUAGCACACAUAUGUGAUGCCUUCUGUAUGUCAUUACUGACACCUGCAAGUGGAUGCUUGUAUUCUAUACCUGAUGUACCUGAACAGGAAAAAGUCUGAUGAGUUAUUUGAAUCCAUGGUCAGAUAGUCAAUAGACAGACGAGUCGUCCGAACAUUUCCGGAGUAUCGGGAUCAUCCUGAUGGCGUCCACAGCAAAGAAACGGAGUAGCGGGACUGCUUUGUUACACGAUUAACUGCAGGAAUUCUUGCUACAAAUGUUCAGGAAAGUAUUUUUCCGCUUCUCGAAGCACAAAGCAAAGCAAGGACCUGAAUUUCUAUUACUCGCUUUAUUUUGAAUUGCAGUCGUUGCUUUUAACUAAGAUCUUGGUGAAAAUUCGUCUGCUACACUUAGGUACAUGACGAUUGUUUACAUUUAAUCGCGAAGGAAUAUGCACAGUUGUGAUGGCUUUGCGAGUGUAAUUGCAUUGUGGAUGCAUGCCAUUACUGUUAGUAUAUUAUUCUUUUGAGGGCAAGAUUUUGUUAGUUGAUGCAUAAGUUUGGAAAAUUCGUCGAAAUUCGUUUUUCAUCCACUGUCUUGUCGAUCGCUACUGUUGUACUGUUUAGUAACGUCGAAGAAUGAGAAUUUUAAAAAGUGAGGAAGAAACAUUGAAAGGUUGAUAGAGCGGUUGUUAGUCAAGCUACAACAGUUGUUUCAUGGAUCUCAAUGCUUGGUUUUGUUUUUUCUUGUUCUUGGGUGUAAACAGUAAAGGUUUAGCUUUUAUCCUUUCUUGAUUUUUUUGUGUCGUCGUGCAGUUAGUGUAUUGUAGCACAUCCUCUAACAGUCAAAUAUUCCUUUACCCAUAGGUGCAAAGAUCGGAUCCAGAGGAUCAGGAGAAAGGAUACGAAGGAUGUAAAAAUAUUCUAUAAUUCAGAUUAUUUCCUGUGCAAUGACUUCUGUAGAGUGGUAUCACAAUCCAUUUGCUUUGUACCAGGCUGUCAUGUGCAGCUGGCAGAAUCAAAUGUCCUCUUUUACACUGUUGUGUAGCUUACAAAUUGUGGGUAAGGUUCGCAGUGAUUGUCAAGACAAGUUUACUGGGAAACUUUCUUGCGCACAGCACGAGCAGUUCCUGUCCUUGAAACAGUAUAUGCUUCACUGGAAGGCAGUCUCACAGUGCUAAGCACACAGUUGUUUCAUGUGAUUAAAGAGUUGGAGGAAACAUUCACAGACAGUGUGGAACACAUUCUGCACAUGGAUAAAGUGGUAGGAAAAUUAAUUAUGCAAGAUGAAACAGUUAUUUAUCUGCUCAUUUGACAGACCUUGCUCUUUGAACAAAAUGGUGAGACUUCUCUUCUUCAAUUUAUGUCUAAAGUUCAUGUUGAAAGAUGAUACAAGAUCUUUUGGAGAUCAGUGAGCAUAUAAAAAUAGGAAAUUGAUGAGAUAAACCAUCUCUAUGCCUCAGAAAAAAGCUUAAAAAUUCAGGUUAGUUUCUAGGUUGUAAAGCCCAUAUUUUUUUUUCCUCUCUAGCUUUUCCUCUUCCUUCCAAUAUGCUGGGUCUUGAUGUUUAAGAGGAUGCAGGUGAAUUUUUUUACUAUUUUAUUUUUGCUAACUUGUUCUAUGUCUUUGUUACUCUUUUGUGAUCUUGUUCAGCACAAUGAGUCCACCUUUGGCUGAGAUAUUGCGCUUUAUAACUUCCCACUUAUUAUUAUUAUGCAUUGUUAACUUUGGUGUGCGUGACAAUUUUUGAGCAAAUACUUUGCUUUCAAUAUAAAUUGUUAAACUGUAUGGAUGUCAGUUCAAAAAGUGAAAGUGGGGCUGGAUAGGACACACCCUGCACAAACCAGCUGACACCAUUGCCAGACAGGCAUUUGACUAGAACUCUCAAAGAAAAAGGAGAGCUGGGAGGCCAAAGCAGACUUGGAAAAGAACAGUAGAGAACAAGGCAAAGGACGUCAUAACCACACAGGCCCAACUGAAGGGGUGCAGCCCAAAACCGGUCCUCUGGUGAGGUGUUGUUGGGGCCCUAUGAUCCUUGAGGAGUAACAAGGAUUAAACAAGUGGAUUUUCUUCUUUUAUUUUUCUUCAUUCGUUUCAUUUCUCUUUUUAGCUGAAAGGUUUAUGUUAAUAUUAUAUUAUAAUAUUAAUUUUUUUGCUUGUAAAUAAAUUUCUGCAUAGGUGUGUAAAUGUAACAUUUAAAUUUGUUUUUCCAUGAAUGAAGAGUGCAAUAAUGAUUACGCACAUGCAUAUUAGUGUAAAGAUAAAACAUGGUAAAUAAAUAAAAUGGAAUAGAGCGAGUAGCAGCACUAGAAAUAGAUAAGGUGGAGAGAUAUAAGCAACUAUGUAAGUCUUUGAUUAGAAUCAUAAUUCUUCUAGUUUUGACACAUUAAUGUUGCAACACACAUGAGAUGACACAGAGAAGCACACAAAGGUAUUAUCAUUCAGUUGCGGUCAUCACUGGACUUUGAUUUAUUCUGCAAAACCCCAACAAACAAUAUCACACAUCGUGUCGUUAUCUCCCUUGCUCCUGACUGUCGCAUGGAGUACUAGCAGCAACUUGUACCUUAUUUUUUAUAGGGGGACUAUGCCUUAAUUAUGACACAUCUUUCCAAUCUACAAUCUUUGGUUACACUGAAGUAGACUGGAGCUAUUUUGUCACAAUUGAUACACAGUGAAAUUCUUUUCAAAUUAAUUUUUUUGUAAUUUAUAAAACAUUUUUGAGAACUACAUAGUAUAAAAUCAAAGUCAAUGCUAAAGAACUAAAUAAAGAGGUCUAAAAAAAAGCAGCAUAUAUAAAA